This 204-nucleotide long non-coding RNA is filed under the name Elaeis guineensis (African oil palm). RNAcentral's name for it is "long non-coding RNA (EGUI_LNC004319)". Lineage: Eukaryota; Viridiplantae; Streptophyta; Magnoliopsida; Arecales; Arecaceae. The record is from RNAcentral.
CAUCUCCCUGACUCACAGGCUUAUUCUUCAAUACGAUGGCCAUGGCCAUUGUACUGACGCUAGAGAUGUUCGUCAUCUUAUACAGAAAAAGCUCUAUCUGAAUUUGCCAAUGUAGUCUUGCAACAUACUUUAUGAAGACAUUUUCAUUAUUGAAGAAAAUACCCAUCGCCACCGUCAGGCACCGAAAUUCAAUGGUGUACUCCU